Molecule: ribosomal RNA, 582 nt
Filed under: uncultured bacterium
Lineage: Bacteria
Description: partial 16S ribosomal RNA
Rfam family: Bacterial small subunit ribosomal RNA
Source: RNAcentral
UGGGGAAUAUUGCACAAUGGGCGCAAGCCUGAUGCAGCCAUGCCGCGUGUGUGAAGAAGGCCUUCGGGUUGUAAAGCACUUUCAGCGAGGAGGAAGGUGGUGAGCUUAAUACGCUCAUCAAUUGACGUUACUCGCAGAAGAAGCACCGGCUAACUCCGUGCCAGCAGCCGCGGUAAUACGGAGGGUGCAAGCGUUAAUCGGAAUUACUGGGCGUAAAGCGCACGCAGGCGGUUUGUUAAGUCAGAUGUGAAAUCCCCGGGCUCAACCUGGGAACUGCAUUUGAAACUGGCAAGCUAGAGUCUCGUAGAGGGGGGUAGAAUUCCAGGUGUAGCGGUGAAAUGCGUAGAGAUCUGGAGGAAUACCGGUGGCGAAGGCGGCCCCCCUGGACGAAGACUGACGCUCAGGUGCGAAAGCGUGGGGCAGCAAACAGGAUUAGAUACCCUGGUAGUCCACGCUGUAAACGAUGUCGAUUUGGAGGUUGUGCCCUUGAGGCGUGGCUUCCGGAGCUAACGCGUUAAAGUCGACCGCCUGGGGAGUACGGCCGCAAGGUUAAAACUUAAAUGAAUUGACGGGUCAUAGCUG